GUGCCAGCAGCCGCGGUAAUACGAAGGGUGCAAGCGUUACUCGGAAUUACUGGGCGUAAAGCGUGCGUAGGUGGUGAGUUAAGUCUGAUGUGAAAUCCCCGGGCUCAACCUGGGAAUGGCAUUGGAUACUGGCUCGCUAGAGUGCGGUAGAGGGUGGUGGAAUUCCCGGUGUAGCAGUGAAAUGCGUAGAGAUCGGGAGGAACAUCUGUGGCGAAGGCGGCCACCUGGACCAACACUGACACUGAGGCACGAAAGCGUGGGGAGCAAACAGGAUUAGAAACCCGUGUAGUCC
This 292-nucleotide ribosomal RNA is filed under the name uncultured bacterium. RNAcentral's name for it is "partial 16S ribosomal RNA". It matches the Rfam family "Bacterial small subunit ribosomal RNA", at positions 505 to 796 of the family's 1533-position model. The record is from RNAcentral.